RNAcentral lists this ribosomal RNA (483 nucleotides) under uncultured bacterium. RNAcentral's name for it is "partial 16S ribosomal RNA". It matches the Rfam family "Bacterial small subunit ribosomal RNA", at positions 28 to 507 of the family's 1533-position model. The record is from RNAcentral.
GACGAACGCUGGCGGCGUGCUUAACACAUGCAAGUCGAACGCUGAAGCUCAGCUUUUGUUGGGUGGAUGAGUGGCGAACGGGUGAGUAACACGUGAGUAACCUGCCUCCUUCUUUGGGAUAACGCCCGGAAACGGGUGCUAAUACUGGAUAUGCACUGGUCUUCGCAUGGGGGUUGGGGGAAAGGGCGUUUCUGGUGGGUGAUGGGGUCGCGGACUAUCAGCUUGUUGGUGGGGUGAUGGCCUACCAAGGGUUUGACGGGUAGCCGGCCUGAGAGGGGGACCGGGCGGAUGGCGAGUGAGAUAGGGACCGGGCUACUGCGGGGGGUCGCAGUGGGGAAUGUUGCGCAAUGGGCGGAAGAAUGAUGCAGAGACGCAGCGUGAGAGAUGGAGGGCUGCGGGUUGUGAACCUCUUUCGCUCAUGGUCAAGCCGCAACAAUGGUUGUGGUGAGGGUAGUGGGUAAAGAAGCGCCGGCUAACUACGUG